UUGACAUUAGUCAAGUGGUAGGGGAGCGUUCUGUAAGCCGAUGAAGGUGUAUUGAGAAGUAUGCUGGAGGUAUCAGAAGUGCGAAUGCUGACGUGAGUAACGACAAAACGGGUGAAAAACCCGUUCGCCGAAAGACCAAGGGUUCCAGUCCAACGUUAAUCGGGGCUGGGUGAGUCGACCCCUAAGGCGAGGCCGAAAGGCGUAGUCGAUGGGAAAAUGGUUAAUAUUCCAUUACUUCUGUGUAAUGCGAUGAGAGGACGGAGAAGGCUAAAUCAGCCUGGCGUUGGUUGUCCAGGUGAAAGGAUGUAGGCAUGUAUCUUAGGCAAAUCCGGGGUACUCUAUGCUGAGAUCUGAUAGCAAGCUGUACUUGUACAGCGAAGUGGUUGAUGCCAUGCUUCCAGGAAAAGUCUCUAAGCUUCAGUUACACAGGAAUCGUACCCGAAACCGACACAGGUGGUCAGGUCGAGUAGACCAAGGCGCUUGAGAGAACUCUGCUGAAGGAACUAGGCAAAAUGGUACCGUAACUUCGGGAGAAGGUACGCUGUUGUUGGUGAUGGAACUCGCUUCCUGAGCUGACGACAGCCGCAGAAACCAGGCCGCUGCAACUGUUUAUUAAAAACAUAGCACUCUGCAAACACGAAAGUGGACGUAUAGGGUGUGAUGCCUGCCCGGUGCUGGAAGGUUAAUUGAUGGGGUUAGCGUAAGCGAAGCUCUUGAUCGAAGCCCCAGUAAACGGCGGCCGUAACUAUAACGGUCCUAAGGUAGCGAAAUUCCUUGUCGGGUAAGUUCCGACCUGCACGAAUGGCAUAAUGAUGGCGGCGCUGUCUCCAGCAGAGGCUCAGUGAAAUCGAAAUCGCUGUGAAGAUGCAGUGUACCCGCGGCUAGACGGAAAGACCCCGUGAACCUUUACUGCAGCUUGACACUGAACUUUGACCUUACUUGUGUAGGAUAGGUGGGAGGCUUUGAAGCUGGAACGCUAGUUCCAGUGGAGCCGUCCUUGAAAUACCACCCUGGUAAUGUUGAGGUUCUAACUCUGUCCCGUGAUCCGGGACGAGGACCGUGUCUGGUGGGUAGUUUGACUGGGGCGGUCUCCUCCUAAAGAGUAACGGAGGAGUACGAAGGUGCGCUCAGCGUGGUCGGAAAUCACGCGUAGAGUAUAAAGGCAAAAGCGCGCUUAACUGCGAGACCCACAAGUCGAGCAGGUACGAAAGUAGGUCUUAGUGAUCCGGUGGUUCUGUAUGGAAGGGCCAUCGCUCAACGGAUAAAAGGUACUCUGGGGAUAACAGGCUGAUACCGCCCAAGAGUUCAUAUCGACGGCGGUGUUUGGCACCUCGAUGUCGGCUCAUCUCAUCCUGGGGCUGAAGCAGGUCCCAAGGGUAUGGCUGUUCGCCAUUUAAAGAGGUACGCGAGCUGGGUUUAGAACGUCGUGAGACAGUUCGGUCCCUAUCUACCGUGGGCGCUGGAAAUUUGAGAGGAUCUGCUCCUAGUACGAGAGGACCAGAGUGGACGAACCUCUGGUGUACCGGUUGUGACGCCAGUCGCAUCGCCGGGUAGCUAUGUUCGGAAGGGAUAACCGCUGAAAGCAUCUAAGCGGGAAGCCUACCUCAAGAUAAGAUUUCCCUAGGACUUUAUGUCCUCUAAAGAGCCGUUCGAGACUAGGACGUUGAUAGGUUGGAUGUGGAAGCAUAGUGAUAUGUGAAGCUGACCAAUACUAAUUGCUCGUGAGGCUUGACUAU
Molecule: ribosomal RNA, 1736 nt
Filed under: Acinetobacter baumannii A13
Lineage: Bacteria; Pseudomonadati; Pseudomonadota; Gammaproteobacteria; Moraxellales; Moraxellaceae
Description: bacterial LSU rRNA
Rfam family: Bacterial large subunit ribosomal RNA
Source: RNAcentral